UCUCAACCUGUUUAUCCUCUGUGUAGAGA
Molecule: non-coding RNA, 29 nt
Filed under: Mus musculus (house mouse)
Lineage: Eukaryota; Metazoa; Chordata; Mammalia; Rodentia; Muridae
Source: RNAcentral